CGCGCAGGCGGGUUGGCAAGUCAGAGGUGAAAUCCUACAGCUUAACUGUAGAACUGCCCUUGAUACUGCUAAUCUUGAGUAUGGAAGAGAGAGACGGAAUUCCAGGUGUAGUGGUGAAAUACGUAGAUAUCUGGAAGAACACCAGUUGCGAAGGCGGUCUCUUGGUCCAAUACUGACGCUGAGGCGCGAAAGCGUGGGGAGCAAACAGGAUUAGAUACCCUGGUAGUCC
RNAcentral lists this ribosomal RNA (229 nucleotides) under uncultured bacterium. RNAcentral describes it as "partial 16S ribosomal RNA". It matches the Rfam family "Bacterial small subunit ribosomal RNA", at positions 568 to 796 of the family's 1533-position model. The record is from RNAcentral.